Molecule: ribosomal RNA, 253 nt
Filed under: uncultured bacterium
Lineage: Bacteria
Description: partial 16S ribosomal RNA
Rfam family: Bacterial small subunit ribosomal RNA
Source: RNAcentral
UACGGAGGGUGCAAGCGUUAUCCGGAUUCACUGGGUUUAAAGGGUGCGUAGGUGGGCAGUUAAGUCAGUGGUGAAAUCUCCGGGCUCAACCCGGAAACUGCCAUUGAUACUAUCUGUCUUGAAUAUCGUGGAGGUAAGCGGAAUAUGUCAUGUAGCGGUGAAAUGCUUAGAUAUCAAGUGGAACACCAGUGGCGAAGGCGAGUCUCUGGACAUUUCCUGACGCUGAGGCACGAAAGCCAGGGGAGCAAACGGG